UUUCUUCAGGUCCCUAUUUCCUUAUGAAGGCUCCCAUGUCAGUUGCCUAUUGUUUCACUGUAUAGCUGUGCUAUGUGGACAUUUUGUUUCCAGCCUUUUGCAAGCCAAAGAGCAAUUAAUUACCUUUUCAAAAUAAUAUUCAUUCAUGCAAGGGUAUCUGCAACAAAAAGAAGUGGAUUUUCAAAAGGUUUCAAAAGAAGAGAGAGACACAGAGUGAAGACGGCCAUAGAAAGACGGAGGCAGAGAUUGGAGGGUUGCCGCCACAAGCCAAGGAAUGCCUGGGGCCGCCGCAAGCUGGAAGAGGCAAGAAAGCCUCCUCUUCUGCAGGCUGCAGAGGAAGCAUGGUCCUGCUGACAUGUUGUACUUAGACUUCCAGCCUCCAGAACGGUCAGACCAUACACUUCUAUUAUGUUAAGCCACCUAGUUUGUGGAACUUUUUAGGCAACCCUAGGGAACCCACAGACACACUGAGUAUAAGUUUAUCACCAAUAGAAAUCACGGAUGUUUUCAUGCAAGAUUAUGGUUGCUGCAGAUAUCUGCAAAUGUUGUUUAAGCUCAUCACUACUUUGAAAUUAUAGUGGUUAUUAGACCCAAAGCGAAAUAUUUUAACUUAAUUGGGUAAUAAAUAACUUAUAAAUUUGUUUUUAAAUAUUUUGAUAUUUUCAUAACUUUAUUCAAUAUAAUGAUUUUCCUUAUGAUUCUCUUUAUCUUAUGCAUUUUAAAGCAUAAUUCCGGGAGGAGGUCUGCAGGCUUCACCAGAAUGCCAAAGGGGUUCCAUUAAGUUCGGCCUGAGAUGCAGUACUCCAACAUAUCCAGAAGAGGGCACUAGAGCACCUAGGCAAAGUUUCCCAGAAAUUAACACUGAUCAUUUUACUGUAUUUCCCUAUAUUGCAGAUACAGAAAUGUGCUUUAAAUUCAUAUUGUCUUUAGAAUAUUAUGUGAUCAGAAUAUGGAAAUACUUUCAGGCCUGCCUUCCUAUUUGUUUGUUAACUUAAAUUUUCCAUACCAUUUUUUCCUUAUUUUUUUUUUAUCGAGGUAAAAUAUACAUACAUAAUUUACCGUCUUUACCACUUUUAAGUGUGCAAUUCAGUGGUAAUAAAUACAUUUAUAUCUUUUUUCAUACCAUUAAAAAAUGCUGACAUGAACAGUUGGUGUUGAAGUUAUUUUUAAACUGUAGCCCAU
This 1182-nucleotide long non-coding RNA is filed under the name Homo sapiens (human). RNAcentral describes it as "HSALNT0205885". The record is from RNAcentral. Lineage: Eukaryota; Metazoa; Chordata; Mammalia; Primates; Hominidae.